UGCUCCUGCCACCGAACGCCCAACCCAGCCCUCCCCUCGCCGGGGCGGCAGCGCUCCUGCGGGCGCUCCUCUGCGUCCGCGGUGCGCGCGACGCCGCGGCCCUUGCCUUCUACUAGCGCUACAAGAAGGGGUUCUCCGCCUCGCUCUCCUCCCCCGCUGCGGCGUCCUCAUCCCCUGCACGCCCGCCUUGCAGCUGCGACUGCCCGGCGCCCCUCUCCCUCAAGUCCAUCGCCCCGGGCCGGCCUCGUUGAGAACCCAGGCGAGGACAACCACGACAUGCGGGUCUCCCUCUUAGGCCUCCCAUCGCUAUCCGUCGUCGAGGUGCCGUUGUUCCUGCUCUACUCCCUGCCUGGAAGACCCCUGCAGCAUGCUGAGCACUUCCUACCUGCCGGCAGCGUACUGGUUUGGGUGGGGGAUAAGCAUUUGGUCAUCAUAUUGCAUCAUUGUUCUCUGUCGGCAGCGUACGGCCCAAAUUGAAAUUAACACAUGCUGAGGUCAGCUCGACUGCUUGUGCACGGGCAGCAAAAUUACAAAUACUGUUCGAUUUCUCUCAGGAUGGAGAUCGUGGCCAAGGCACCUAUGAUGAUUGCGUCUACUGUGUUGGGUCAGAUAGCUUGGUCUAAGUCAGAUAUGAGCAUGUUUAAGCUACAGGGAUGGAGAUCGUGGCCAAGGCACCUUUGGUGAUUGCGUCUACUGUGUAGGGUCAGAUAGCUUGUUCUAAGUCAGAUAUGAGCAUGUUUAAGCUACAGGGUAAGGUAGUCUUUGAGAUUGCAUGCUGUUGCUGCUAGUUUCGUAGUGGACUGGUUGAAAAUUGCCAUGGUGCAAUUAUUGUAAGAUCUUGUGCUAGAUUAAAACUUAAGUUAAGACUAUGGUUUCAUGCUGAAUGAAAACUUGUUUUCUUGUAUGUAUAUGCUGAGAUGGAUCAAAACUUAUUACAUGUAAUGAAUGAAAUAUUUAAUCUGUUGUGUUUA
Molecule: long non-coding RNA, 971 nt
Organism: Panicum virgatum (switchgrass)
Lineage: Eukaryota; Viridiplantae; Streptophyta; Magnoliopsida; Poales; Poaceae
Exons: 6
Source: RefSeq, a predicted model, not a curated record